This 460-nucleotide ribosomal RNA is filed under the name uncultured bacterium. Its description in RNAcentral is "partial 16S ribosomal RNA". It matches the Rfam family "Bacterial small subunit ribosomal RNA", at positions 338 to 795 of the family's 1533-position model. The record is from RNAcentral.
CCUACGGGUGGCAGCAGUGAGGAAUAUUGGUCAAUGGACGAGAGUCUGAACCAGCCAAGUAGCGUGAAGGAUGACUGCUCUAUGGGUUGUAAACUUCUUUUAUAUGGGAAUAAAAUGUUCCACGUGUGUGAUUUUGUAUGUACCAUAUGAAUAAGGAUCGGCUAACUCCGUGCCAGCAGCCGCGGUAAUACGGAGGCUCCGAGCGUUAUCCGGAUUUAUUGGGUUUAAAGGGAGCGUAGAUGGAUUGUUAAGUCAGUUGUGAAAGUUUGCGGCUCAACCGUAAAAUUGCAGUUGAAACUGGCAGUCUGGAGUACAGUAGAGGUGGGCGGAAUGCGUGGUGUAGCGGUGAAAUGCUUAGAUAUCACGAAGAACUCCGAUUGCGAAGGCAGCUCACUGGACUGCAACUGACACUGAGGCUCGAAAGUGUGGGUAUCAAACAGGAUUAGAUACCCGUGUAGUC